This 1447-nucleotide ribosomal RNA is filed under the name uncultured bacterium. Its description in RNAcentral is "bacterial SSU rRNA". It matches the Rfam family "Bacterial small subunit ribosomal RNA". The record is from RNAcentral.
GAUGAACGCUAGCGGCAGGCUUAACACAUGCAAGUCGAGGGGUAACAGCCCCGAUUUAUCGGGAGCUGACGACCGGCGGACGGGUGAGUAACACGUAUGCAACUUGCCUUUAACCAGAGGAUAGCUCCGGGAAACCGGAAUUAAUACUCUAUAACAUCCCAUCAUCGCAUGGUGAAGGGAUUAAAACUUCGGUGGUUAAAGAUAGGCAUGCGCAGCAUUAGCUUGUUGGUAAGGUAACGGCUUACCAAGGCAACGAUGCUUAGGGGGUCUGGGAGGAUGAUCCCCCACACUGGUACUGAGACACGGACCAGACUCCUACGGGAGGCAGCAGUGAGGAAUAUUGGGCAAUGGGCGAAAGCCUGACCCAGCCAUGCCGCGUGCAGGAUGACAGUCCUAUGGAUUGUAAACUGCUUUUGUAUGGGAAGAAUUCCCCCGACUCUUCGGGGGUUGACGGUACCAUUCGAAUAAGGACCGGCUAACUCCGUGCCAGCAGCCGCGGUAAUACGGAGGGUCCAAGCGUUAUCCGGAUUCACUGGGUUUAAAGGGUGCGCAGGCGGAAUAGUAAGUCAAUGGUGAAAGCCUACAGCUUAACUGUAGAAUGGCCAUUGAUACUGCUGUUCUUGAGUAUAGUUGAGGGAAGUGGAAUGCGUAAUGUAGCGGUGAAAUGCAUAGAUAUUACGCAGAACACCAAUUGCGAAAGCAGCUUCCUAAACUACUACUGACGCUGAGGCACGAAAGCGUGGGGAGCGAACAGGAUUAGAUACCCUGGUAGUCCACGCUGUAAACGUUGCUCACUCGCUGUUGGCGAUAUACUGUCAGCGGCUAAGCUAAAGCGUUAAGUGAGCCACCUGGGAAGUACGUCCGCAAGGAUGAAACUCAAAGGAAUUGACGGGGGCCCGCACAACCGGUGGAACAUGUGGUUCAAUUCGAUGAUACGCGAGGAACCUUACCUGGGCUUAAAUGUAGAUUGACUUCCGCCGAAAGGUGGUUUUCCUUCGGGACAAUCUACAAGGUGCUGCACGGCUGUCGUCAGCUCGUGCCGUGAGGUAUCGGGUUAAGUCCCUUAACGAGCGCAACCCCUAUUGUUAGUUGCCAGCAGGUAAAGCUGGGGACUCUAGCAAAACUGCCAGCGUAAGCUGGAGGAAGGUGGGGAUGACGUCAAGUCAGCAUGGCCCUUAUGUCCAGGGCUACACACGUGUUACAAUGGCCAGUACAGAGGGCAGCUACCGCGCGAGCGGAUGCUAAUCCCCAAAGCUGGUCUUAGUUCGGAUCGGAGUCUGCAAUUCGACUUCGUGAAGGUGGAAUCGGUAGUAAUCGCACAUCAGCAACGGUGCGGUGAAUACGUUCCCGGGCCUUGUACACACUGCCCGUCAAGCCAUGGAAGUCGGUACUGCCUGAAGUCCGUAACCGUCAAGGAGCGGCCUAAGGCAAGACCGAUGACUGGGGC